GACGAACGCUGGCGGCGUGCUUAACACAUGCAAGUCGAACGCUGAAGCUCCCUGCUUGCAGGGGGUGGAUGAGUGGCGAACGGGUGAGUAACACGUGAGUAACCUGCCCUCCACUUCGGGAUAAGCGCUGGAAACGGUGUCUAAUACCGGAUACGACCCAUCACCGCAUGGUGUGUGGGUGGAAAGAUUUAUCGGUGGUGGAUGGACUCGCGGCCUAUCAGCUUGUUGGUGAGGUAGUGGCUCACCAAGGCGACGACGGGUAGCCGGCCUGAGGAGGGUGACCGGCCACACGUGGGACUGAGACACGGCCCAG
RNAcentral lists this ribosomal RNA (313 nucleotides) under uncultured bacterium. RNAcentral's name for it is "bacterial SSU rRNA". It matches the Rfam family "Bacterial small subunit ribosomal RNA", at positions 28 to 334 of the family's 1533-position model. The record is from RNAcentral.